AAUCCUCAGCUCAAUAGACUUUUAUUACUUUGACCAUAUUUUUAUCUUCCAUCUCUAUUUUGCCAAUUUAUUUAUACAACAUAAAAUAAUAUAUAUCUUUGUUUAAUACAUGUCAAUAUAUAUUUUAUUUUUUAUGUUAUUUAAACAACACAUUCAAAAACACCAAUAUUUAAAAAACAUAAAAAUAAAAUCAAAGUUUAAAGUAUAAAAAUAAAAACCCUGGCAAUAACCUACUCUCCCGCGAACUCGCAGUACCAUCAGCGAAUAAGAGCU
RNAcentral lists this unclassified non-coding RNA (273 nucleotides) under Borreliella burgdorferi (Lyme disease spirochete). Its description in RNAcentral is "partial 5S-23S rRNA intergenic spacer". Lineage: Bacteria; Pseudomonadati; Spirochaetota; Spirochaetia; Spirochaetales; Borreliaceae. The record is from RNAcentral.